GAUGAACGCUGGCGGCGUGCCUAAUACAUGCAAGUCGAGCGAACAGAUGAGGAGCUUGCUCCUCUGACGUUAGCGGCGGACGGGUGAGUAACACGUGGAUAACCUACCUAUAAGACUGGGAUAACUUCGGGAAACCGGAGCUAAUACCGGAUAAUAUAUUGAACCGCAUGGUUCAAUAGUGAAAGACGGUUUUGCUGUCACUUAUAGAUGGAUCCGCGCCGCAUUAGCUAGUUGGUAAGGUAACGGCUUACCAAGGCAACGAUGCGUAGCCGACCUGAGAGGGUGAGCGGCCACACUGGAACUGAGACACGUGCCAGACUCCUACGGGAGGCAGCGGUGGGGAAUCUUCCGCAAUGGGCGAAAGCCUGACGGAGCAACGCCGCGUGAGUGAUGAAGGUCUUCGGAUCGUAAAACUCUGUUAUUAGGGAAGAACAAAUGUGUAAGUAACUAUGCACGUCUUGACGGUACCUAAUCAGAAAGCCACGGCUAACUACGUG
RNAcentral lists this ribosomal RNA (497 nucleotides) under uncultured bacterium. RNAcentral's name for it is "partial 16S ribosomal RNA". It matches the Rfam family "Bacterial small subunit ribosomal RNA", at positions 28 to 507 of the family's 1533-position model. The record is from RNAcentral.